AUGCCUCCUCCUGUGGCAGCAUCCGAUAUUCCUCUUCCUUCUCCCGCGAGGCCACGACGGCAUGAUUUUUUAGGUUUAGGGGAUUUCGCCCAUGGCGUGCUUCCCGUGCAGGGCGCAGGCCUCCGCCUCAUCCAGAGUCGAUUUAGCAGAGAAGAAGGCAGUUUCAGGAUGGGUACUGAGGACUCUAAAGAUAUGCUGAAGAAUGCGGACUGGAAAACAGUGAGUGGUCCAGUGAUUACUGAGUCAAGCCAGCCAAUUGUUAAGAAGCGUCUUCCAAAGAAAAUCAGACAAGUCCCCGAGUGUUACUUUCUGCCCCGGCGAUCUCUACCUUCUGCAUUGGCAAUCUAUGGUGCUGUUUGUGCCGCUGGAGUUGGUGCAGGAAUGUUGCUUGAGAUUUGGAUAAACAAAAAGAUCAAAGAGGAUGGCGGCGUUGUCUGGGAGAUGGGCAAAUGA
RNAcentral lists this ribosomal RNA (453 nucleotides) under Triticum aestivum (bread wheat). RNAcentral describes it as "partial small subunit ribosomal RNA". The record is from RNAcentral. Lineage: Eukaryota; Viridiplantae; Streptophyta; Magnoliopsida; Poales; Poaceae.